This 243-nucleotide ribosomal RNA is filed under the name uncultured microorganism. RNAcentral describes it as "partial 16S ribosomal RNA". It matches the Rfam family "Bacterial small subunit ribosomal RNA", at positions 9 to 242 of the family's 1533-position model. The record is from RNAcentral.
GUAGUUUGAUCCUGGUUCAGAUUGAACGCUGGCGGCAUGCCUUACACAUGCAAGUCGAACGGCAGCAUGAUCUAGCUUGCUAGAUUGAUGGCGAGUGGCGAACGGGGUGAGUAAUACAUCGGAACGUGCCCCUGUAGUGGGGGGAUAACUAGUCGAAAAGAUUAGCUAAAUACCGCAUACGACCUGAGGGUGAAAGUGGGGGACCGCAAGGCCUCAUGCUAUAGGAGCGGCCGAUGUCUGAUU